UCAGCUGAUAAAGCUACCUGAAUUUCAAGCAGCUAGCAGGCAGGGAAAAAAAAAAAAUGAUUGUGCUGCCAUUGCACAAUGUAGUAGGCGAAAAGAUUUUUGAUUGCAAUUCUUUACCCUAAGGCUUGUAUUUAUAGUGGGGGAGGAGAAUACUGCACCCAGUUACACUGCCCAGUGUGGUACGCACCUUCUGGGACUAUGGCAGGUGAGCGCCCGUCCCACAUGCCCUCCUGCUGAAGGUUGUGGGUGAAACAUGUUCAGUGAGCUCCAGUAGCAAGGCACCACAUCCCACCAGAUAUGACGGCUUUUCAAAGCCCUUUUUGGGGUGAGUUCUUCGUUUGCCUUUUUUGUGCUUUUUUUUCCAAAAUACUGCUGAGGCAAUAUUACAUCGCCCAGCCCUGCGUACGUGCUGCCACAUUCUGGAAGAUGGAAAACAAAAGCUAAAAGAGGAUGGUUAACCUUUUCUAAUUGUCGCAGUACAGGACUAGUUGCCAGGAGGAACUUGAGUGCUAAUCCUGCUUUACUCACCAUGUGACCUUUGGCUGUCUGUUAGGUUCCAGGAUGAAUCUGAGGUGCUGAUACGCAUCUGUGAAUGUGCAACUUCUCAGAGAGACUGCCAGUCUGCCCCAGAGCCAAGUUUUACAGAGGUGCCACAGCUGGAGUGAGUAAGUCAUUCACGGACUUAGAACUAAGUUGUCCAUCCUGAGAUCAACCGGAAGAAAAUCCCAAAGAAACAACGUGGAAUCCCAUUUAAUGGAGUUACAAAUCCAAACAAACAAAAGUGAAGGGCAGAUUUCUAGGCUGAUGUAAAAAUAAGGCUUCGUGCUGGACCUGCUGCCUUCAUCAGAAUCCAAAACAAUCCUUAUGGUGGUCUCUAUGAUGGUCUUUGAACUGUGUACAAUCUGAUGCCAGCAGACAGAAGCAGACGGAUACCUGAGCACUCAGGAGCAGCCAAAAGUCACUGAGCUUCUUUAUAUAAUUCAAUAAAAGUGAGAGAAACAAAACAAAAGCAAAACCUGACACACACAACAGUCCCUCCUUCUCCAGUUUCAUGGUGAAGCAAGUUCCAACACUGUCAAGCCAAAGAUUAAAUAAAAAGCCAAGGGCAUGCUGCCAUGCAUAUAUUAGACCUGCGUAAAACACUGACAUGCACACCUCACAGAUACAAGGACUGUGAGGUGAGCAGGGGUUUAAGACCCAACAAAGAAGCUGCCUUCUCAUCAGGUUCACUAGGCCUGUAUUUUUAUCCAUUACUUUUCUUUAAUCCUGUCCAUUUUUAAUGGUGGAGCACUAAGCAGCUGACUUUUGCCCGGAGGAGUGCUUUGACAUGGGUCAAUGCAGAAGGAGAGGAUUUGGGAUGGACAUGGUGGCCAGAGGUGGGCAUAGGGCUGCGGUCCCCCAGCUGUGGCCACCAUGAAUCUGUACCCCAGGGAGGCUGGAGCUUGGCUAACCUGGGGCAAGCAUCAGGCUGGUUAAGAAUCAAAAGACAUUUUAGACAGCCCCACAGAGAGCAGCUCUCCCUUGUUUCCAAGCUCAGCUCCUUUCUGUUGCUCUACUGUGUCCUUUUGUACUCUUUUGUGACUCUUCUGGAAUUUAGCUUUGAGAAGCACACACCAGCCAAGGGCCAACAAUGUCCUUUGACCUUCCACUUUGUCUGUGACAGAUUCAUUUUUAACUGGGAAUAAUAAUAAAUGCUGAUGAGGUGCGAGUUUUGACAUUCGUCUGGGAGUGCAGAGGCAUGCAAUUUCUAAUUUUACCAAAAUCCAGAAACGGGUGGAUAUUCUUUCUUUCAUCUGCAAAGUUUUGAAGGGCAGUAAUGCAUUUGAUUUUUUGUAGCUUUCAAAGAGGUUUAUUCUUCAUUGAUUUGCUAGUUGCA
Molecule: long non-coding RNA, 1876 nt
Organism: Anas platyrhynchos (mallard)
Lineage: Eukaryota; Metazoa; Chordata; Aves; Anseriformes; Anatidae
Source: RefSeq, a predicted model, not a curated record